UCCGGAGCUGUAAACACUCAACCCUAGAUGC
RNAcentral lists this non-coding RNA (31 nucleotides) under Homo sapiens (human). Lineage: Eukaryota; Metazoa; Chordata; Mammalia; Primates; Hominidae. The record is from RNAcentral.